RNAcentral lists this long non-coding RNA (40022 nucleotides) under Setaria italica (foxtail millet). Its description in RNAcentral is "long non-coding RNA (SITA_LNC006942)". Lineage: Eukaryota; Viridiplantae; Streptophyta; Magnoliopsida; Poales; Poaceae. The record is from RNAcentral.
ACGGACCGGCUCUACAACUUCAGCGGCACCAACAUGCCGGACCCGACCCUGGACUCGGCUUACCGAGCGUUCCUAUCGCAGAGGUGCCCGAGGAAUGGCAACGGUUCGGUCUUGAACGACCUCGACCCGACGACACCGGACACCUUCGACAACAACUACUACACCAACAUCGAGGUGAACCGGGGUAUCCUCAACUCCGACCAGGAGCUCAAGUCGUCGCCCCAGGCGCAGGGCACCACGGCACCCAUCGUCGACCAGUUUGCGAGCAGCCAGGACGCCUUCUUUGCGAGCUUUGCACAGUCCAUGAUCAACAUGGGGAACAUUAGGCCCCUGACGGACCCAUCCGUAGGUGAGGUCCGUACCAACUGCAGAAGAGUCAAUGGAAGAUAAUCAUGGAGGAGAGGAGAAACUAUAUAAUGUGUUUAUGAGUAUGUAACUGAAAAAUAAGGGCUUUCAGCUCCGAUCCCUCAAGUGUGCAGUUUAUAUGUGUAUAUUUCUGAUUUUACCAUCUUUAUAGUUUGUCAACCAAUUGUAAUGUGCUCCAAAUUCAUCCGUCUCCAAAUUAAAGCAGGUCAUGCAUGUGUCGUUGAAAUAAACCAGAAACCCUUGCAAAAUGAUGAUCCCAGUGAUCGGUCAUAUCGUCAGUUGGUGAAACAGUUUAGAUUUAAGCAUCUCUGGUGCUGUGUCUGACUAUCUGCUUGCAUGCGUCGGAUCCAUUUAGUGCAGACCAAACAAACUGUUUCACUUAUGUGAUGAUAAGCUGGGGAUACUUUGGAUGCUUCCUUUGUCUGGUCCCUCAAGAAUAAUGCACAAAUGUCAAGGAAAAUCCAAAUUCUGGUAGCGAUUGUUUGCUACUCGUCACUAGCAGAGAAUUCACCUUCCAUGCAGCCCAUUUUAUCCCGGUUUAAAGUUAGUCUCGGACAAAAGAUUCACCAACCGGGACUAAAGCUCGAUCACUGGUGGGGGGCUCACCAACCGGGACCUUUUAUCCCGGUUGCAAAGGCUAGUGGAAAAAAAAGACCCUGAGAGUCCCCACGAGUUAAUACAAAACGAUUGCAUCCCAUAUAUAGUCAAAUGUGUUGUGUAGGUGGGAUGGCAAGGAAGCUACACGCGAGGUUGGAGGUUGUGGGUUCGAAUCCCACGCAGCGCGCACGCGCAUAUUUUGCGUGAAAAAUCGUGUGAAAAAAUCGUGUGACUUGCGAUGUGCGCGUGUGGGGGGUCCUCCCGGGAUUUUUUUUUCGGAAGAUUUGCAUUCUACCAACUGGGACUAAAGGCCAAUUCUCUACCAGUGCGUGUUGUAAUCAUGUGCCUUUUCAUUUAAGCAUUGUAUUACUCGCCGCUUUAGCAUUAUUCUAAAUCAAACAUCUCUAUAUUUGACAAGCUUAUAAAAAUAUAUAACUUUUUACCGUACUAAAUAAAUAAAUACACUAUCAAUAUAUAUUUCACAGUGGAUUUAAUGAAACUAUCAAUAAUUUGCUGUAAUUUUGUCAAAAUUAGAUAAGUUUAAUAUAAAACAAAACUAAUGUGACUAGUAAUUUGGAACGGAGGGUGUACAUGCACGUCGGCAUAUAAAAACGGUAUUGUAUACGCAGGUGAUAAGUCAGACAGUACGGUGCUGUAUAGUUACAGUACUGUGGUGCACAUGUUUUCAUUAUUACAGCUAGCUAGGUUCUUAUUCGCUAGUUUAGCUGCAACAGCUAGUAGUAAGUUAUCAGUCGCUUUCUGUCCUAUAUACCCAAAUCCAUGGAUAAAGGCUGAUCGUUCCUAUAUGCUUGGACAAUAUUUGGCAUCGCUUUGUAGUAUGAUGUUUGCCAUUUGAUUUGGGAAGCACACGUAGAUGCGCGUGCUUAUGUUUCAACAUGUACGUAACGUAACCUGUUAGGGAUUAGUGCUUCAAUUAAUAAAUCAUUGUCUGCAUAGAAAAUAUUAGAGAGAAUUCCCUAUUUGACACUAGAAAAACUAUGUGUUCCAUUCCUUUCUUGCCUCUCAAAAUAUUUUCAUUCCCUAUUUGAUACCAAGUUCAACUUUCGUUCCUUAUAUAACACUAUAUUGAAUUUUCUAUUCGAGAACCGUUAAAUGCCCUGUGGGUCACACCACCGUUCUCCCUCCUCUCCUCCCCUUCUCCCUCCUCUCCGCGGCAACCACGCUAGGACAGCCUUGACGUCACCCUUGACGCUCCUCAUGAUGUCCUCGGCCAGCGCCUCGGACAUGGCCUUGCUGCACCGCACCCAUGCCAUGUCGUGCCGGGCGCCGAGCGUCACCUUGGCCUCGUUGGUGUUCAGGAGGUUCAGGAGCGGGCGCGUCAGUACAGCCACUCGCGCGUGUAGUUCCUCUCCCACCAAGCACCCAUCCAACUGCCUGGAAGCUACCGCCGCCCUUCUUCUGCUGCCACUUUGUGGCGGAUCCACUUCGAAUUAGCUUGAUUAAACCGGGUUAAGCCGCCUAACAUGCGACACCCAUGAUUAAGCCAAGAAAAUCACGAAGUGCCGUCGGAUUUCAUCCGAUUUAACCACUUGAACAGGAUCGAGUUUAGCAAACCCACACGAAGGUGAGUGGUUCCAGAGAAUACAUCGAGUCCACUGAGUUAGACAAAUUUACCCAUUUCGUUUGACCAUAAAAAUCCAACAUCAGAGUUUUACAAGGUUCAAAAGAAACAACAGAGAUAAACACUAGCGGAAGACUUCGUCGGGGUCGGAGGUUCUGGUGAGGCCAGUCAGAACAUCACUGAUUCCUCUCCUCGCCGUCCGAGGAGGGACCCCACUCGACCGUCCAGCCCGGCGGGAGCUGGGGCGGCCAAGCGCCAGCAAGAGAGGGGUCGGGAGCAGCAAUUUCACCUGAAAAACAGGAGCCACAACAAGGCUGAGCUACUAAGCUCAACAAGACUUAACCGAUAGGAGUAAAACUCCUCCUUCUAGACAUGCAGGACCUUUUGGCUGAGGGGUUUGUUUGCCAAAAGCACUAAGUAAAACCUUAUUUUCAAGUUUUAGCUCCGGUUCUAAGUUCGAUUACCAGUCUAGGUUGUGCAACCUAUUCUAAGCAAUCAUAGAGCCAAACAAGAUGUGUAGAUAUAUCAACAAACAUGUCAUCAUCAGAUUCCUCAUUUACUCAAGGUGACAUAGCGAUCAAGCAAUCUCAAACUGUGAGAGGCAGACGAAUCGAUUCGAGUUCUUUAACCAUGCAUGGUGAACCUAGCCUCACGACAUCCGCGCACCAGGAGGUCGCUUCCUGUGUCGGCCUUCCCCAUCAAUCCCCUAACCCGUGUCGGGCCCAUUUCCUUUGGUGCAAGGUUCCACAGGCCCGGCCUCUGCCGUCCUGUGACCACGCUUGCCACCACGUGCGACAACCAGCAGGGGAAACUCCGUUCCAAGAACAAUGGGGCGACCGCUCACGUCUAGGUUCAAUCCGGUACUAGGCUUCCUCAUCCCAUACUAAGUAUGAGGCUAGUACUUUCAAACACUUAAUCAUGAACACCACCACUGUCGGGCCUUAGCAAGUUUUCAUAGACAGACGGGGCAACCAUCCGUCCACCAAAGAGUUACCAAACCCUGCCCCGUCCAUCGUCCUUAUAGUUAUAACAGGAGAGUAAACAUGCAACUCCUACAACUCGCGAGUGACAGGAAAUCACUCGACUUUUAUCGUUUCCUAGUUAAGAAAUGCAACUACUCGGUACAACAGCUAGUGCUCAGAUCAUGGGAAUAACUACAUCAUGCAUCUAGGGUUUCAAACAACUCCUAUACGUAAAUGCACAAGCAUGUUACAGAAGGCAUGCGCAAGUCUGGCAAAACAUAUAGGGUUUUUAUGCAACCGGGGCUUGCCUUCGAGCAAAGAGGAAGGAAACUGCUCGACUUCUGGGGCGACUUCGGCUUCAGCGGGCAGGAGCUCGGCUACACCUUCUUCUUCGGGCGUCGGGUGUAACUCGUAGAAGCAGUCGGCGAGGUGCAGCUCUAUACGAAUGCAAUGCAAGAGUUAGCAUAGACGGUUAUUUCAACAGCAACGCUGGCUCGCCUGAGCCCAGAAACUCGCGACAAAGAGCAGGAGGGUAGGGAGGUUCAAGAGAGCUGGUGAUGAUCAAGAGGCAAGGGUAGGAAAGGAAACUUAUGAUCUGAUCCUCGAACUAGAGGAUGUGAUACAUUAGGAAUCCUCAGACGCAGCGCUGAAGGGUUCCUAACUUUUACACAUACACCCUCGGGUUGAAGAAAAGAUCACAGCCGAACCCUCGGGCGAGGCGGAUAAGGGUCGGCGAAACAGACAGGGUCGGGCGAGACGGAACCGGGGUCGGGCGGAUAAGAGGGGUCGGGCGAGGCGGACUGGGGUCGGCAACUCACCUUCUUUCUGAAAGGAAAGCUUGGGGUCGGGAAGAAGCAGACUUGGACGGAGGGACUAAGGCUUGAACAAAGCUAAGACUGGGAAGCUACUGCGGCGGCGCUUCUUGCUAAUCACAAGAGAGCUUCUACGCAGAAAGGAGGAGCAAGCUACUGGGUGACUUGGAGAAAAACUAAGGAAGAAUCUGAGAGGAGAGUUCCUCAAGAACUUGGUGGUUGGCGCUAGGAGCUUGAGCAGGGAGCGAGAGAAUGGUUAAGGCAACAAUGGCGGAGGAAACUCCGGCGACGGGGGCAUUCCUUUUAUAGCUGCUGGAACUGAGAAGGAAGUGGCGCGGGAGAGAGAGAAGGGGAGCGGCGCGAAGGCCGGGGAGAAGCAAUGGAGUGCUCUGCCGGGGCGGCGAUUGAGCGAAGAGGGCGGUGGUGCAGGACUCCGGGGGUGACGCCAGCAGUCAUUGGGUUCUGCCAUCAGGGCGGCGUAGGAGCGGGUAGACUGGUGGUUGAGAUUUGGCGGAAAGCGGACGUCGCCGUGCGGAAGAUUUGAUAGAAGCGACCGGUUUAACGGCGCUAGAAUCGAGGGCGCACAGGUGAGAAGACAGGCAGCCGCGGGCGCGCGGGCGAGCGCGGAGCAACAGAUUAUCGGGCGGCUUCUGAUAGGGCGGGAAAGGAGCUGUCGCAGCCGCGGUCGGGGUUGGCGAUGGGGGAAUCGUCGUGUAGCGGAGACCAGGCGGCGUGACUGUGGUUGAAGGGACGGAAAAGACAGGCGACAUCGGGCUCUGGGGCCGGGAUCUGGCGGCGUGAUGAUGGGCGCGGGAGGCGAGGCUCUGCAGAAAGGGGUGCAGAGGGGCUUCCGCUGCCAUUGGGGAAGGGGGCGCGAGAAUCCACUCGGUCGCUUGCCAGAGACAAAACUGAGCGGCGGCGUCGGAGAAGACGAGCCACGCGGCAGGAAGACUCUGAAGUGGGCAUGCAACUCGAGGGCGCCUGUCGCGGAGGAUCUGGGUAAAAGAUCUCGCGGGUCCACCGGUGGAUAGAACGGACGUUUGAGGAAGCUUAGCAGGAUCCGACGGUGGGCUGGGCUCGCCAGGGUCGGGAGAGGAGCGAAGCGUGAAGGGGUCGGGUCUUCCGGGGUCGGAACCGGGCGGAAGGCUGAGCACUUGGCGCGGUAAAACAAGACAGAUGACUAUAGAUCAAGGGCUCCGAUUAAGAUUAACUCGGAAGAUUAGGGGUCGGUCGUCACAGCCUACCCCUCUUAAAAAGAAUCUCGUCCCGAGAUUCAGGGAUCAAGGGGGGUGUCCUGUCCUUACCUCCUUGAUGAGAUAGAAAACCUGAAAAGCGCUUGUUCAGAUACUCGUCCGUUUCCCAUGUUGCUUCAUCUUCAGUGUGGUUUCUCCAGAGGAUCUUGUACAUCUUUACCACUUGGCGUCGGGUGUGCCUUUCCUUCUGGUCAAGAACUCGAUCUGGGUACUCGACGUAGGUCAGGUCGGGCUCUACCUGAAGCUGUUCUUGCUCUAAGAUCUUUGCUGGAACUCGGACACAUUUCUUCAGUUGAGACACGUGGAAAACAUCGUGUAUGACCGAUAGCUGUUCUGGAAGUUGGAUCCGGUAAGCAAUGGGUCCACAUAUCUCCACAAUCUCAUAAGGGCCAACAUAACGGGGAGCUAACUUGCCUUUUACUCCAAACCGUUGUACUCCUUUGGUCGGGGAGACUCGAAGGUAUACAUGAUCACCAAGGUCGAACUGCAGGGGUCUUAUCCGCCGGUCGGAGUAACUCUUCUGUCGAGAUUGGGCAGCCUUGAGAUUAGCUUGAAUUACCUUUACUUGUUCUUCGGCUUCCACCACCAAGUCAGGGCCAUAGACUUGUCUUUCUCCUGGUUGGGACCAGUUCAAGGGUGUCCUGCAUCUCCGGCCAUACAGGGCUUCAAACGGUGCCAUCUUCAAACUGGCCUGGUAGCUGUUAUUGUAGGAGAAUUCUGCUAAGGGCAGACACUUGUCCCAAUUCUUGUCAUAGUGGAUAACACAAGCUCUUAACAUGUCUUCGAGAAUCUGGUUGACUCUCUCGGUUUGGCCAUCGGUUUGAGGAUGAUAGGUUGAGCUUCGGAUGAGCUUGGUGCCCAUGGAUGCUUGUAGUUGCUCCCAAAAGCGUGCCACAAACUGAACUCCUCGAUCAGAAAUGAUGGUCUUGGGUACACCGUGUAAGGAAACUAUGCGGUCGAGGUACAACUCUGCAUACUGCUUGACGGUGUAGGUGGUGCGAACAGGAAGGAAAUGUGCGGUCUUGGUCAAACGGUCCACUAUAACCCAGAUGGAAUCAUAUCGUUGUGAUGUAAGGGGCAAUCCCACUAUGAAAUCCAUGCUGAUGUCUUCCCAUUUCCAAGAGGGAAUAGGUAGCGGUUGCAGGGUUCCUGCUACCUUUAAAUGACUGGCUUUGACGCGUUGACAGGUGUCACAUUUUGAAACAUACCGAGCUACUUCCGGCUUCAUUCCACUCCACCAAAAGGUUUGACGGAGAUCAUGGUACAUCUUAUUGCUGCCAGGAUGGAUUGAGAACUUGGAGAGAUGAGCUUCAUCUAGGAUUUGCUUCUUCAGGUUGGGGUCGGCGGGUACAACUAUUCGGUUUCCGUAAUGCACACCUCCAGUUUUGUCCUACCGGAAUUGCUUAUAUCCCUCAUCCUUUACUGAGAUCUUACUGAUGAUCCGUCGUAUUUCGUUAUCUCUCACUUGUGCGGACCGGAUUUGGUCUUCCAAAACUGAGUCAAGGAUGAUGUGACCAAGGGUUCCUUGAGAAAUAAUCUCCAAACCGAGUUUUCCCAUCUCGUGACACAGAGUCUUGGUGAAGGCUGUUGACAACAAGCAGUUGCAAUGGUGCUUGCGAUUAAGGGCAUCGGCUACCACAUUGGCCUUGCCGGGAUGAUAGUGCACUUCCAAUUCAUAGUCCUUUAUCAACUCCAGCCAUCUUCUCUGGUGCAUGUUGAGGUUGGCUUGAGUGAAGAUGUACUUGAGGCUCUUGUGGUCGGUAUAGAUGUUGCAGUGGGUUCCCAUCAGGUAGUGUCUCCAUAUCUUCAAGGCAUGUACCACUGCUGCUAGCUCCAGGUCAUGGGUUGGGUAGCUCAACUCAUGAGGUCGUAACGCUCGUGAGGCAUAGGCAAUGACUCGACUGUCUUGCAUAAGAACACAUCCGAGUCCAGUGCCAGAGGCGUCACAGUAUACGUCAUACGGCCUAGAGGGGUCGGGCUGAGCCAAAACUGGGGCUGUGGUCAGCAAGUGCUUCAGGGUCCUGAAGGCUUCUUCACACUUGUUGUCCCCCACAAAUUUGACCUCUUUCUUCAACAACUCGGUCAUCGGCUUAGCUAUCUUAGAGAAAUCCGGUAUGAAACGCCGAUAGUAGCCGGCCAGUCCAAGGAAACUUCUGAUCUGGUGCACUGAGGCAGGAGACUUCCAUUCCAUGACUUCCCGCACCUUACUGGGGUCAACGGCGAUACCAUCCUUAGAGAUAGUGUGUCCCAAGAACUUGACACUAUCUAGCCAGAACUCACACUUGGAGAACUUGGCAUAUAGCUGGUGAUCUCUUAGCCGUUGGAGAACUAUAUGAAGAUGGUCGGCAUGUUCUUCUUCGCUCUUUGAGUACACUAGGAUGUCAUCAAUGAACACCACUACAAACUUGUCCAGCUCGGGCAUGAAUACCGAGUUCAUGAGGUACAUGAAAUAGGCGGGUGCAUUGGUGAGUCCAAAGGACAUGACUAGGUACUCGUACAGUCCAUAUCUGGUAGAGAAAGCUGUCUUGGGUAUGUCGCAGGGUUGAAUCUUUAUUUGGUGAUACCCAGAACAUAGAUCGAUCUUGGAGAACACUUUUGCUCCGGCUAACUGAUCAAACAAGACAUCAAUGCGUGGCAGGGGGUACUUGUUCUUGACGGUCACAGCAUUGAGGGGUCGGUAAUCCACACACAUACGUAGACUGCCAUCCUUCUUCUUCACAAACAGGGCAGGGCAACCCCAAGAUGAUGUACUCGGUCGGAUGAAGCCUUUUUCCAACAGAUCAUGCAACUGGGUCUUCAACUCAACUAACUCAGCGGGUGGCAUCCGAUAGGGUCUCUUAGAUAUUGGGGCGGUGCUAGGGAUCAACUCUAUGGAAAACUCCACUUCUCUAUCAGGUGGCAUACCGGGCAAGUCUUCUGGAAACACGUCAGGAUACUCAUAGAUAAUAGGGAGGUCUUUUAGGCGGGCUCCCGAUAGGGGGUAGGCACAAGGAAACGCAGACUCAGGAUGGGUCAAGGAUAUGGUAGAACUGCCAUGGGAGGGUGAACUGAUGCAGAGAGAUCGGGCUGAUGUAUCUAGAACCACAUGAUGUCGGGCCAUCCAAUCCAUACCAAGGAUGACAUCUAUGCCUUCUAGGUCAAGGAUGAUAAGGUUUUCCUUGAAGAGGGUGGGGCCUAGCUGGAGAGGUACAAGAAUAACAAUCUGAUCCAAUGUUAUCCUUCCUCCAGGAGUGGCGAUCACAUAAGGUUCCUUAGUGUGACCGACAUCCAACCCACAUCUUUCCCUAGUCUUACUCCCGAUAAAGCUAUGCGAGGCUCCCGAAUCAAACAACACAACAACAGCUUGAUUUAAAACAAGGAAAGUACCCGUCAUUACUGACGCACCUUCGGGGAGUUCGGUCAAGCUGGUGUAGUUGAGUCGGCCUUGUCGGACUUGCACCUUGGGCCUUCUUCCUCUGGCUGUCAUGGGGUUCUGACCUUGCUGUUGAUUCUUGUUCCUGGGGCAGUCCUUUGCAAAGUGCCCUUCAUUGCCGCAGGUAAAACAACGGUUACUGGCUGCCGGGCGGGGUGGUGUUGGCAGGGUCGGCCGGGGCACCUACGGUUGGAAGCCUGGAAAACAAGGCGCUGUUACUGGCGGGGGUCGGGCAAUCCACCUUCCUGACUGCUGGGGUCGGCCAGGGGCUUGCGGAGGAACCAUCCGGAACCUUCGAGUCGGUUGACUCGGAAAUGCCACACAGGAUUUCCUCUUCUGGUCGGCCUUGAGAGCUUGCAUGCAAUCCUUUUGCGAGAUGGCCAGAUUGACCAACUCAUUGUAGGUGUCCACCUUGAUGGGGUUCAACCUUUCCCUGAGCUCCAAGCUCAGUCCUCGGCGGAAUCUGUCCCGCUUCUUCUCGUCUGUGUCCGCAUGGUAGCCAGCAUAACGGCACAGGUCGUUGAAAGCUUGAGCGUAAUGCAGCACAUCUCGAGUUCCUUGUGUGAGGGCUAGAAACUCGUUGAGCUUGCGCUCCAAGAGACCUUCUGGAAUGUGAUGCGCCUUGAACGCCGUCUUGAACUCAUUCCAACUGACCACAUGGCCAGCCGGCAGCAUGGCAUGGUAGUGAUCCCACCAAAGCCGUGCGGAACCACGCAGCUGUUGGGCUGCAAACCGAGCCUUUAUGUUGUCGGGGCAUGGAGCGGUGAGAAGCUCAAACUUGGAUUCGAUCAUACGAACCCAGGCAUCAGCAUCGAGCGGUUCUUGUGUCUUUUGGAACAAAGGGGGCUGUGUCCCUAGAAAGUCCUCAUACCGAGCGAUAUGCGGCUGCUGUUGAGCUCUUCCACCAUGUGGUUGUUGCUGUUGCCCUUGUACCAGAUGCCUUAGCAGCUCAGUUUGAGGUGCUAGGAUUGCCUCCAGUGGCGAUGAGGGCGGGGGUGGGGGAAGGGAAGAUCCUGUCACUGAUCGCCACUGCCGGGCACAGAACCAGACCUGGUGCGGUGCGCCAUCUGCAAGAGUUAACGCCCCAUCAAUUUCAUAACCUUAGGUGUACUCUAAGAAAUGGAACGUAUAAUUUAAACUCUCCAAUGCAACUCUUGCCAAUGGUGCAACACACGUCCUCAUAGGGAAAACACACUUUUCUCGUUCUCCGGUUAGACAACAUCUAUCUUGACCUGGUACUCACUUCAGACAAAACAUGUCACAUACAGACUCUUAUGAUCCAACUCAAGCCAAGGGGUCGGGCUAGGCGAUCCUUCCGAGAGAACAAGGGGUCGGCAUCGAUCUAUACUUAAAAGGGUCGGACGAGGCGAAAACUGCCUCAAGGGUCGGCGCACUUUGUCUCACAAACUGGGGUCGGCCAACUGAUCAGGCUCCCCGAAAAACAGCAUAUGGUCAUGGCGCACUCACUUAGCCUAGCAUCCACACCAUACAAAGAUGAAAAAGCCAGGCACCAGAAUCAACUUUAUAUACAACGGUGUUCCAAUCAUAGGGAGUACUCAACUCUAGGCUAACCUAUUACAACCUUUCCAAAAUUAGGCUGCCGAGGAGUACAACAAAAGAAUAAUCCCCUGAGAACCCGCAAUCUACCAAUGGACACUAUGAGUAGGAGAAGGGGCGCCAUCUUCCUCAAUAUCCAUGCUGGACGCUCCUUCGUCUUCCUCAGGGUCCUUCUGAGCUUCGAGCUGCAUGUUGAGGGCAUGCAUAUCAUCGAGCUCAGCUUGAUGCUCCUCCAAAUGGGCAUUGGCAACUGCCAACUCCAUUUCCAUCUCCAUCUGCUCCUCCGAUAGCUCUAUCAUGCCGUCCACGAGGUCGGCGACUUCUCCCUCAAGCUCGGAGAUCCGGUCUUGCAUGUCGUGGAUCUGGAUACCCCGUUGAAUAAGCUGGUAGGUUUGGCCUACCAUAUCUCUUCGUGCCGCUUGGAGGUACCCGUGAACAUCUGCUGCUGUCCGAGCGAAGAGGGUCAUGGCUCUCCCUUGAAGCUCUAUCAACCGGUAGAGAGCUGCCAUGCACCUGAUAUUGGUGGAUAUGGUGACCAUGGCGCUUGUGGUGGCUAGCACCUCAAUGUUCCCGACGCGGUCAAGCCAUGCCGGGUCCAGCCGGUUCCUGACGGGGAAAAGGCCGAUCGGGUCGAGCGUGAUCUCCAAGGGAUGCAGCUGGCAGAACUGUGUGAGAAGCUGAAGGGCGGCAGACUCCCAUGUAUACUCAGGAGCGAGGCCAUAGGCUAUUAUGCCGAAAGAGGGCCAGUCCGGCCGUACAGGGGGAGGAGGUACCACCGCCUGUACUUGGCACGUCUGGAUACCCUGCUCCAGGUAUAACCGUCUGGCAUACAAAGGUGGGGACUGGUACCCAAACCACUUCAACGUAUCCCACAGAAUCGUAGGGAAUCCCUCGAAAUGCAGACACGUCGAUUGGAAAGUACCGUCCGCUCCAAAAAGAACAUGCCCGGGAACAGCCAUCUGGAACCAAGAAACCGAAACGACGUGCGAUAGACUCCAAGGAUCAGGGGUCGGAUAGAGAAGCAUACGGUUUUGACCAAGAGCAACCAAAAGAAACUAGAAAUCCUUAGAUCCAAAAGAACUCUUCCGAACAAGGUUGCUGUUGAGAAAGAACCGUACAACCUUUUUAGGUAUGACGCAUGCACGGCCUACCUUACACAUAACCAAAGCAACUGCCCGAACUCGGGUCUUACGCGGUCAGUGCCGGUGACAAGGCAACCAUUACGUCUCUCCCUAUAAUAGCUAGUCGGUUCUAACAAUGUCUCCUAAACGAACGCGGUUAGCGUACCUGCAGAGAAACACCACACACGAACCUUCCGUGCCAGCACCCACGGAAGCGCUCCCAAACAUUACCGCUCACUUAUAGGAACGGCACCCAUGCGUUUAAGGCUGCAUGGAUAGCACUCAACCAUGGAAAUAGGUUCCCCUUGAAUGGAACCAUAUAACCCUUCGCAUACUCGUGAUGCGGAAUCAGCACACGUAUGAUAAACGUGGCGAACCAACCGUGCCGAUAGGUUCGUUGGAAUCGAACCGUACCAACCUUCGUAUGGGAUACAUACGGAACCUGCGCACGUGUGAUAGACGUGGGCGAAAACAACCACGAGGAUAGGGUUCCUUGAAUAGAACUCCCUAUCAACCUUCGCAUGCUCGUGAUGCGGAACUCAGCACACGUAUGACAGACGUGGUGAAGUGCUGGAGGGUUAGCAGGAUAACCAAGUAAUUAUUAGUCACCUAAAACAACCCCAAAAUCCCCUAGGGCCUCUCGCACUAAAGCCAUCCUUAACGGUCGUACGAGAUUUUUCAAAAGUUUUCUUGCAACUUUUAUCUUUUCAAAGAAGUGUUUAGGGCUUGUUGUGUUCUCUGAAAUGCUAAACACGGCUCUGAUACCAGCUGUGGCGGAUCCACUUCGAAUUAGCUUGAUUAAACCGGGUUAAGCCGCCUAACAUGCGACACCCAUGCUUAAGCCAAGAAAAUCAUGAAGUGUCGUCGGAUUUCAUCCGAUUUAACCACUUGAACAGGAUCGAGUUUAGCAAACCCACACGAAGGUGAGUGGUUCCAGAGAAUACAUCGAGUCCACUGAGUUAGACAAAUUUACCCAUUUCGUUUGACCAUAAAAAUCCAACAUCAGAGUUUUACAAGGUUCAAAAGAAACAACAGAGAUAAACACUAGCGGAAGACUUCGUCGGGGUCGGAGGUUCUGGUGAGGCCAGUCAGAACAUCACUGAUUCCUCUCCUCGCCGUCCGAGGAGGGACCCCACUCGACCGUCCAGCCCGGCGGGAGCUGGGGCGGCCAAGCGCCAGCAAGAGAGGGGUCGGGAGCAGCAAUUUCACCUGAAAAACAGGAGCCACAACAAGGCUGAGCUACUAAGCUCAACAAGACUUAACCGAUAGGAGUAAAACUCCUCCUUCUAGACAUGCAGGACCUUUUGGCUGAGGGGUUUGUUUGCCAAAAGCACUAAGUAAAACCUUAUUUUCAAGUUUUAGCUCCGGUUCUAAGUUCGAUUACCAGUCUAGGUUGUGCAACCUAUUCUAAGCAAUCAUAGAGCCAAACAAGAUGUGUAGAUAUAUCAACAAACAUGUCAUCAUCAGAUUCCUCAUUUACUCAGGGUGACAUAGCGAUCAAGCAAUCUCAAACUGUGAGAGGCAGACGAAUCGAUUCGAGUUCUUUAACCAUGCAUGGUGAACCUAGCCUCACGACAUCCGCGCACCAGGAGGUCGCUUCCUGUGUCGGCCUUCCCCAUCAAUCCCCUAACCCGUGUCGGGCCCAUUUCCUUUGGUGCAAGGUUCCACAGGCCCGGCCUCUGCCGUCCUGUGACCACGCUUGCCACCACGUGCGACAACCAGCAGGGGAAACUCCGUUCCAAGAACAAUGGGGCGACCGCUCACGUCUAGGUUCAAUCCGGUACUAGGCUUCCUCAUCCCAUACUAAGUAUGAGGCUAGUACUUUCAAACACUUUAUCACGAACACCACCACUGUCGGGCCUUAGCAAGUUUUCAUAGACAGACGGGGCAACCAUCCGUCCACCAAAGAGUUACCAAACCCUGCCCCGUCCAUCGUCCUUAUAGUUAUAACAGGAGAGUAAACAUGCAACUCCUACAACUCGCGAGUGACAGGAAAUCACUCGACUUUUACCGUUUCCUAGUUAAGAAAUGCAACUACUCGGUACAACAGCUAGUGCUCAGAUCAUGGGAAUAACUACAUCAUGCAUCUAGGGUUUCAAACAACUCCUAUACGUAAAUGCACAAGCAUGUUACAGAAGGCAUGCGCAAGUCUGGCAAAACACAUAGGGUUUUUAUGCAACCGGGGCUUGCCUUCGAGCAAAGAGGAAGGAAACUGCUCGACUUCUGGGGCGACUUCGGCUUCAGCGGGCAGGAGCUCGGCUACACCUUCUUCUUCGGGCGCCGGGUGUAACUCGUAGAAGCAGUCGGCGAGGUGCAGCUCUACACGAAUGCAAUGCAAGAGUUAGCAUAGACGGUUAUUUCAACAGCAACGCUGGCUCGCCUGAGCCCAGAAACUCGCGACAAAGAGCAGGAGGGUAGGGAGGUUCAAGAGAGCUGGUGAUGAUCAAGAGGCAAGGGUAGGAAAGGAAACUUAUGAUCUGAUCCUCGAACUAGAGGAUGUGAUACAUUAGGAAUCCUCAGACGCAGCGCUGAAGGGUUCCUAACUUUUACACAUACACCCUCGGGUUGAAGAAAAGAUCACAGCCGAACCCUCGGGCGAGGCGGAUAAGGGUCGGCGGAACAGACAGGGUCGGGCGAGACGGAACCGGGGUCGGGCGGAUAAGAGGGGUCGGGCGAGGCGGACUGGGGUCGGCAACUCACCUUCUUCCUGAAAGGAAAGCUUGGGGUUGGGAAGAAGCAGACUUGGGCGGAGGGACUAAGGCUUGAACAAAGCUAAGACUGGGAAGCUACUGCGGCGGCGCUUCUUGCUGAUCACAAGAGAGCUUCUACGCAGCAAGGAGGAGCAAGCUGCUGGGUGACUUGGAGAAAAACUAAGGAAGAAUCUGAGAGGAGAGUUCCUCAAGAACUUGGUGGUUGGCGCUAGGAGCUUGAGCAGGGAGCGAGAGAAUGGUUACGGCAACAAUGGCGGAGGAAACUCCAGUGACGGGGGCAUUCCUUUUAUAGCUGCUGGAACUGAGAAGGAAGCGGCGCGGGAGAGAGAGAAGAGGAGCGGCGCGAAGGUCGGGGAGAAGCAAUGGAGUGCUCUGCCGGGGCGGCGAUUGAGCGAAGAGGGCGGUGGUGCAGGACUCCGGGGGUGACGCCAGCAGUCAUUGGGUUCUGCCGUCAGGGCGGCGUAGGAGCGGGUAGACUGGUGGUUGAGAUUUGGCGGAAAGCAGGUGUCGUCGUGCGGAAGAUUUGAUAGAAGCGACCGGUUUAACGGCGCUAGAAUCGAGGGCGCACAGGUGAGAAGACAGGCAGCCGCGGGCGCGCGGGCGAGCGCGGAGCAACAGAUUGUCGGGCGGCUUCUGACAGGGCGGGAAAGGAGCUGUCGCGGCCGCGAUCGGGGUUGGCGAUGGGGGAAUCGUCGUGUAGCGGAGACCAGGCGGCGCGACUGUGGUUGAAGGGACGGAAAAGACGGGCGACAUCGGGCUCUGGGGCCGGGAUCUGGCGGCGUGAUGAUGGGCGCGGGAGGCGAGGCUCUGCAGAAAGGGGUGCAGAGGGGCUUCCGCUGCCAUUGGGGAAGGGGGCGUGAGAAGACGAGCCACGCGACAGGAAGACUCUGAAGUGGGCAUGCAACUCGAGUGCGCCUGUCGCGGAGGAUCUAGGAAAAAGAUCUCGCGGGUCCACCGGUGGAUAGAACGGACGUUUGAGGAAGCUUAGCAGGAUCCGAUGGUGGGUUGGGCUCGCUUGGGUCGGGAGAGGAGCGAAGCGUGAAGGGGUCGGGUCUUCCGGGGUUGGAACCGGGCGGAAGGCUUAGCACUUGGCGCGGUAAAACAAGACAAAUGACUAUAGAUCAAGGGCUCCGAUUAAGAUUAACUCGGAAGUUUAGGGGUCGGUCGUCACACACUUCUUCUUGCUGGUGCCGCUGCUGUCGGUGCGGCCGCCGCUACUGUUGCUGCCACCACUGCCAGUCUGGACAAAACCAGAUGGCGGGCGACACCCGCCCGCACAGUUGGAGGAUGAAGACGACGAAGAGUUCCCGGUGAGGAGGACGGUGGAGUUGGAGAUCUUCUCCUCAUUGGUCAGGCGAAGUUCCUUCAGGACGAGCAUGUCCCAUGCCUGGGCGAAGGACAGGAAGCCGGCGGUGGAGUUGGCGAUGUCGUCGGUGAUGUUGGCGAGGUCGAGGACGGAGUUGUCAAUGGAGCCGAAGAGCCAGGAGCGGAUGCAGCAAUCCGCUUGAUCCUAGUCGGGGUCCUGGGGACGGGGUGCCACUGUGCCAUCGAUGUGCGACUUGAGGCUGAACUUGCCACACAUGUACUUGAAGAAGGAUGCCCAUCUGAAGUAGGCGUUGGACUUCAUCAUCAGCGUCACAGGGAUGUGAGACUUGAUGAAGACAGUGGUGUAGGGGUGGAUGGUGGGCGGCGGCGCCGGGUAGAUGAUGAAGCCACUGCUGCCAUUUUUGGGCACGUCGCUGGCAGGAGGAGCUUGGGGUGCACCGCAUGAGGAGCCGCCAGUGCUAGGUGGUGGCAUAGAUGCACCACCGUUGCUAGCUAGGGGUGGUCUAGGGGGCGGCACAGAAUUAGCAGCAGGAGCGGUGGUGUCGCCGGACACAGAGGAGUCGGCGGAGGACAUGGCGCACGACAGGGAGGGGGGUCGGACAGGGAGGUGCAAGUGGAGGGUGGGUGGCGGCAGCGUAGCAGGAGGGCGCUGCCUAGGUUUGCAUGGAUCAGGGGGAAAGGUGCAGGGAGAGGAGAGGAGGCCCAUGAUCUAAUCUCGUGAUACCAUGUAGAGAAGUAGAUGGAAAAACACUACACACCCUAAUGAGGGGGGUUGACCUCUAUAUAUAUAUGGUCAAUAUGGCUUGGAGUACAAGGAAUACAUCAAGUGUACAAGGAAAGGAUAAAUACAUCCUAAUCUAAACAUAUACUUCCUAAUACUCACAAGGCUCACCGUCCUGUUCUGCAUUGUGUCGAUGGUGGCCUUCUACUUGGCGUUGAUCAGCCCAGCAAAGUAGGCCUGGUCGGCGUGCAUGGUAACCUGUGCGAUGGGGUGUGUCAUGAUGUUGCUGAUGGCGAUGCCCUGCAGGUUCACUCUCCGGCCCACGGGGAGCUUGUUGUUCGAGUCGAGGAUGUGCUUGGUGACCACGGGGAUGUACUUGCCAGCGUAGCUCUCGCCGGCAAAGAAUAGCGGGCAUGCGCGGAAGCUCUGGUUGAGUGCCAUGAAUGACUGGUGAGCCACGAGGAGGUGCGCGGCGAUGGUGGGCUCGUCCCUGGGGAUGUCUAACUUGGAUGCUGGCGCGCUGAAGCCAGACCCGAGCGGGUUGUCAAUGAAGAUGACGAUGAAGUGGUGGUUCCAACGGUUCCGGUUGCGCGAGAGCCCUGUGGAGUUGAGGAGGAGGUAGGGGCCAAGCUCGGCGACGUUGUCAAUGACCGAGGAGCACCCGAGCCCGCCUUGUAACGAUACGAGCAGCAGUGUGGCGGUCGCUAGUGCGGUGACCUGGUUGGUGUCCAACUAACUCCCUCUCAGGCGCUCCCGUAACCACCGCGGGCCACCGUGCCUUCUCCACCGUGGGUGACGCGUCGAUUGCCGCUGCCGCCCCAUGUGCCGUCUGCCGGCGGCACUUCCGGUUGCGCAGGUUCCAUGGCCGGGCCGCUGGGGCCACGGCCUCCUGCUACUCAGGCCACGGCCUGGUCCCUGCUGACAUUAGUGGCGGCGAGACGGCAAAGGAGCACGUCGGCGGUGUACGGGGAUGAGCAUUGGGCAAGGAAUAGGUGGUAACGGAAGGUGAGGGAGAGGAGCGAGAGCGCGAGGAGGAAGACCAGUGGGAGAUGGCGGUGCUUUAUCUCCAUGGUCCACAUGGUCAUGCGCGCGGAGGCCACGGUAGCCGGGGCAACGGCAACGGCGGAAGCAAAGGCAGUCGAGGCCAAUCAACGCACGACUAGGUCGCCAUCGAACGUUGAGGUGGCGGCGGCGGCACGCAAUCGAGGUGGACCGAGGGAAGAGAGACGGUGGGGUGGGGUUGGCAUCUCCGUGUCGCAGCGGGGGAGGUGCGACGGAGAGGAGGGAGAAGAGAGGGAGAAGGGUGGUGGGCCCUACAAGGGCAGAAUUGUCUUUUCGCAGGGCAUUUAAUGGUUCUCGAACGGAAAAUCCAACAGAGUGUCGUAUAAGAAAUGAAAGUGGAACUCGGUGCCAAAUAGGGAACGGAAAUUUUUUGAGGGGCAAAAAAAAAGAAUGGGUAGUUUUUCAGUGUCAAAUAGGGGAUUAUCUCAAAAUAUUAAGCUCGACGACCAAAUGUGCUUUCAGAUGAAAUUGAGAGGAUGGAGUAAGAGUAUCUACUCCAAUACGCACAACAGACCUUAACACCCUCGCGCAUACAAAAGUUGGCUGCCACCUCCACCAUCCCGAUGUUCAUGGUGUCUUAUUAGCUACUCCCUCCGUUUUAAAUUGUAUGUCGUUUUGGCUUUUCUAGGUUCAAAGAUAUUAUUAUGUAUUUAGACGUGCACUAUAUUUUGAUGCAUAGUACACUUAUAAAAGUCAAAAAAACCUAUAAUUUGGAAUGGAGGUGGUAGCUAGGAUCAUCCAUGUCUUCCUCGUAUCUUCCUCUAGCACGGCAAUACCUACUUGCAUUAUGCCAAGAUGGUCGCUAGCUAUAAUGUCCGCUGCAGCCAUGAGCCAACCUCCCUAGUGUUGUGGGAAGCGACGCCACUGUUGCCGUCCUCUAUAUAUGCUUACGGAAGAGGCUGACCUGUUAAUCAUGUGUUAACCUGCUAAGGUUUUUUUAUCGUUGAAACGGUUAUGACUUUAUGUCUUUAUCCGGUCCGUGGCAGAUAGCGACUCGUAACCGGCCUCUGACCAAUAAUUAAUGUUGAAACAAAUCUUGAAAGGGAUAGAAAAUGCCAAUCUUCAAUCAGGCAUCAGCCAGCUAGAUGUGAUCAUUAGUUGCCGAGAUAUUAUAGGACGAAACUGAGCAAUGAUGGGCCAAGUAUAUGUACUCCCUCGAUCUCAGAUUAUUGUUCACUUUUACCUUUAUCCUAAGUAAAAUUUCUCUAACCUUAGCGUAAUUUAUAAAAGCAUCGACAUUUACAAGAUCUAACUAGUUUCAUGAAACACCUUAGAAUAUGUUUUUAAUGGUGCAUUUGUUUGAUACUGUAUAUAUUACUAUACUAUAAAAAGCGAGAGAAUCGAUGUCAAUUUUUAUCCACUGCUAUACCCACGUACUCCUCAUAGAGGGCCCGAUAGAAUCCAGCUGUAUUACAAAGGACGACGAAGGGGAGGGGGUGGGGGGAGUCAUUUUGUCGUUCUCUGCUGAAGGAAAUCGCUAAACCUCACAAUUUUUCACACUUCUUGUACCCGCCUGACCCACCUACUCAUUGCAUGCGGCUUUUCCGUGCAAUAUUCCCGCACCUCAACCAUCAAUCAUCACCAAUCACGGGCAAGCCUUUCCAUUAGGUGGUCUUCCAAAUCGCAUGCUUCGGCUUACCCGCCCGCCAAUCACACUUCUCUUUCCUUUGCUGCGCUGCCCUCUCCCUUCCCCUCCCCAUCCAUAAGCGUUGCCCUCUCCACUCCCCUCCCCGGCCAAUCCAGAGAUCCUACGGAAGUGAAGCGAGCAGGCCAGUGACGUCAAGGCGCAUAGAUCAGAGCCCCCCAUCCGUGUCCCUUCCACCAAGGCCAUGAGCGAAUGGCGGCAAAGGCAGCAAAUAGGCACUCGCUCCCGCCGCCACAGACUGAGGAGGCGUGUCAUGAGAGAUGCAUGACUGAAGAUGGAGUUGUGUGAGAAGGCGUUUUCGUUCUUUGUUUAUGGGUUUAUGUUUUAUGUUUUAAGCUUUAUGACAUGUGGGCCCUGCGUGGUGACUUCGGUGGCAUAUAUGCCAGAUGUGUACCGAUGAACAACGAUGAACUUGUUAUUGAAGUAAAAUAGAAAUCAGAGAGGGAAAUCCUUCCUUGUACGCCCCCAAAUUCCAUCUCUCUGUUAUUGCUCACGUCCUCGGCAUCUCGCUGGCAGCCAAGGAUGCUUACAGUGGUAUCAGAUUCCGGCGAUUCUCGGCGUGCAUUUGUUGUGCUGCUCGCGUAUUCUGUCGAUCUGAGCUGACAAUUGGGUAGGUCUUGGAGAUCGGAUUUUGUGCCGCGUAGAACCGGCCAUCAUUCUUGAUCGACUUGUCAAUAUUGCACUCCGUCUGUUCAAUUUGUGGGUGAGCUCACACGAUGUUGUCUGCUGGGCAGCGCAUCUCAUUGGAGUUCGGUGGCAUGUGGUGGCGGCGUGGUGCGGGGAUUCGGAGGUGUUGUCAUGGUGAGUCCGAUUACUCCAUCGACCUUGAAUUGGCAAACGGAUCGGUUGGUUUUGCUUGUUCUUCGUGGUACUCUACUGCUUAGGACAAGAUCCAUAAUUCCCAUCCAUGCUAGUUCAGUUUGUGGAGUGAUUCAUCACAGCACCACCGAAGCUAUCGGUGCAGAUGCAGCUCAUUCUAGGAGCGAUGGCGUCUGCAGUUGAGCACGAGGAUGAACAUUGGGAUAAAGUGACAGAGAGCAUUGAUCUAUUGUAUGCAAAGAUGGAAGUGAUGGAUCAACAGCAGCAACGUGUGGCAACACAAGUUGAUGUGGGAAACAAGGUGAUGGAACAAUUGUUAAAGGAUCAGCAGGUUUUGGCCAAGCAAUUGGAGGUUACAAGAACAGGCGGUUGCACAGUUGAACCUUGAUCGUUAGGAGACUAAAGGGGAUACUCAUCAGAAGCAACAGUUUCAUUCAAGCCAGGGUCCUUCUCUUUAGAAUCAUAUGCAGUAUGGUGCUUCUUCUUCCUAUCAGUCCCAGAGAGAUGAGAGAGACUUCCACACACACCACAAGUAUCAUACUCCUAAGAUGUCCUUUCCCAGGUUCAGCGGUGAGAAUCCUAUAAUAUGGAAGGAUAAGUGCCUCAAUUUACUUCCAGAUCUGCAACGUUCCUGAAGCAUUGUGGACUAUAACUAUAUCAUUGCAUAUGGAUGACCUAGCCUGCAAGUGGCUGCAGGUGUACAAACUGCAGAAUGGAUUAGGGGAUUGGAAUGAAUUCAUUAAUACUGUUGAGAGCCAGUUUGAUACUUAUGAUCACAGAGAUGCCAUCAAUGAAUUGAUCAACCUGAAGCAAACAUCCUCUCUAGAAGAGUAUAUUAUUGCUUUUCAGAAUCUACAGUAUCUCAUUGCAAUGCAUAAUGGUGGUCUUCAGGAAGUGUAUUUUGUGGCACAGUUUGUGUAGGGCCUUAAACCUGAAUUGAGAAUUGGAGUUCAAGCUCAAGUACUUGCUACCAUGAAGAAAGCUAUAUUACUGGCCAAAGUGCAGCAACAGUUACAGGACAGUGACAAGUUCAAGUCCAACAAGUUCAACAAUUGGUCCAGGAACAAUAGUCUAGCUCCAAAAGUUGAGCAGAAACAACCCCCUACAGCUACAUUAUGGAAAGAAAGGCAACUAAGGGAUUUUAGGAAAGCUAAUGGCUUAUGUAUUUACUGUGGUGAAGCUUAUAAUCCUAGUCAUGCAAAGGUGUGCAAGCACAGACCUCAACCUCAAGUAAAUACCUUGGUGAUCAAUGAUUUAGAUCAGCCCUUAACUGAAGAAGUACUUAAUCAGUUGGUAGUAGAGGAUGAAAUUAUAGAAGAGUUUGCAAACUUGUCUCUAAAUGCAAUUUCUGGUACUGCUAAAGCUAAUGUGUUGCAAAUCAGGGCCAUGGUUAAAAACAAAGUCAUGCUCAUAUUGUUAGACAGUGGUAGUUCUCACAGCUUUGUCAGUUCUUCUUUUCUAUCCAACAGCUCCAGCUAAGAAAGUCAAAGUUGCAAAUGGGCAGGUACUAAUUACGAAUAAAGUGGUGCCUAACAUGGAGUGGUGGUGCCAAGGAUACACUCUCAACACCGCUAUGCAAGUGCUAGAUCUAGGUGCUUAUGAUGCUAUAUUGGGGUAUGAUUGGUUGAAACCACAUAGUCCCAUGCUUUGUCAUUGGGAAAAUUAUACGGUUGAGUUCGCGGACAAUGACAGACCAAUCAAGUUGAAUAGCGUACAUCCAACUCCCUUCUCUCUACCUGAGGUAUCAAUAGAAAAACUCAUCAAGAUGCAUCAAGGGAAUGAUAUCUGGGCUCUAGCUGUGGUAAUUUUUGUGGAACCAACCCAGUCUCAACAGUCACCAGAAAUUUAGGCUCUCAUACAUGAUUUUGCUGAUGUGUUUGCCAAACUUUCAACAUUACCACCAGAAAGGGCUUAUGAUCACACUAUACCUCUAAUACCUGACAUAAUUCUAUUUAACUCCAAGCACUAUAGAUACUCUCCCUUACAUAAAGAUGAAAUUGAAAGACAAAUUCAGGAAUUGUUGUUUGCUGGUUUGAUUACUCCAAGCACAAGCCCUUUUGUUUCUCCUGUUCUUCUGGUGCACAAGAAAGAUGACAAUUGGUGAUUCUGUGUUGAUUAUAAAAAGUUGAAUUCUCUUAUAGUUAAGAACAGAUUCCCAUUACCUGUGAUUAAAGAAAUUUUGGAUGAAUUGGCUGGUUCAAAAUUCUUCACCAAGCUUGAUAUGACUGUGGGAUAUCAUCAGAUCUGAAUGAAUGCAGAAGAUGAGUAUAAGACCAACGUUGAAAACACAUCAAGGCCUUUAUCAAUUCAAGGUGAUGCCCUUUGGAGUUACUAAUGCCCCUGCUACUUUUCAAUGUGUCAUGAAUGACAUCUUACAACCAUUCUUGAGGAAAUUUGCACUAGUAUUUUUGGAUGAUAUAUUAAUCUAUUGUACAUCAUUGGAAACAUAUCUGGAGCACAUUAGAGCAGUUUUGCAACAACUAAGAAAGCAUCAAUUUUAUCUCAAGAUCAGUAAGUGUUCUUUUAAUUAGACUCAAGUUGACUAUUUGGGAUAGAUUAUUUCUCAAGAAGGUGUAGCAAUGGACCCCUCAAAAACAACUGCAAUGCUUAAUUUGCCUCAACCAACUACAGUAACAGAGUUGAGAGGAUUUUUGGACCUUACAGGCUAUUAUAGAAGAUUUGUCAACAAUCAUGGCAUUAUGGCUAAACCACUAACUCAAUUACUCAAGAAGAAAUAGUUUCACUGGGAUAAUAUUGCUACCAAGGCCUUCCAGGACCUUAAAAGCAUAAUGACUCAAACACCAGGCACUGAUUCUUCCAGAUUUCAACCUCCCAUUUGUAGUGGAAACAGAUGCUUCUACUACAGGAGUUUGGGCCGUACUAAUGCAACAAGAUAGACUAGUGGCUUAUCUUAGUAAAGCCUUGGGGCCUACUCUCCAACACCUCUCUAUUUAUGAAAAAGAGUUCUUGGCCUUGAUUAUGGCCAUUGAAAAGUGGAGAUCCUAUUUAUAGAGACAAGAAUUUAUUAUAAGAAUAGAUCACAAGAGUCUCUCUUAUUUGACUGAGCAGAAUUUGUAGUUGGAACUUCAAUGCAAAGCUAUGACUCGACUUAUGGGUCUCAACUUUAAGGUGGUCUAUCAUAAAGGCAAGAAAAAUGCUGCAGCAGAUGCCCUUUCUAGGGUUCCCCAUCUCAUGGCUAUUCAAGCUAUUUUUGAGGCCACACCAGUUUGGCUUCAAGAGGUACUCAACUGUUACCAUUCUAAUCCUGUUGCACAAGAUUUGCUACAGUCUCUUGCUAUUUAUUCACCUAAUGCUCAAAGCUAUUCACUGGAAAAUGGUUUGAUAAAGUACAAAAAACAUUAUGGUCGGGAGAUAACUCAGAUUUAAGAACAAAAGUAAUUGCAACACUUCAUGCUAGUCCUAUUGGAGGUCAUUCUGGGAUUCAGCCUACAUACCAUAAAGUGAAGCAUCAUUUUUACUAGAAAGGAUUGAGGCAAGAUGUUGAGAAUUUUGUUAAACAGUGUGAUAUAAGUCAACAUGCAAAACAUGAGCAUAUUCAUCCUGCUAGCAUACUUCAACCCUUACCCAUUCCCCAAGGUGCUUCGCAAGACCUAUCUCUAGAUUUUGUGGAAGGCUUGCCUAGUUCAAGAGGAUGUAAUGUGAUCCUAAAGGUGGUUGACAGAUUCACCAAGUAUGCACAUUUUAUGGCUCUUAAACAUCCUUUCACUUCUCUACAAGUGGCUAAGCUAUUACUUGACUCAGUGAUUAAGCUGCAUGGUAUACCCAAAUCUAUGGUGUGCGACAGAGACAAAGUCUUCCUCAGUAAUGUGUGGAAGGAUCUUUUUUCUCACUUGGGCACAAAACUAAUUCACAACACAGCUUAUCACCCUCAAACCGAUGGUCAAAUAGAGCGUGUGAAUCAAUGUCUGGAGAUGUACCUGCAAUGCUCAGUGCAACAAUCACCAACUUUCUGGAAAAAUUUGCUUCCAUUAGCAGAAUUAUGAUAUAACUCUUCUUUCCACUCUUCUCUUGGUUGUUCUCCCUUCAAAGCUUUGUAUGGCUAUAAACCCAAUCUAGGGGUGUUGACCGCAUCAUCAGUUGGUCCAAGCACUGACAAGACUGUGUUCGAUCUGAUACAAGAGCGUGAGGAACACACAGUCAUGCUCAAGGAGCGGUUGGCUGUUGCACAAAACAAAAUGAAGUUGUAGGCUGAUAAAUUGCGAACUGACAGAGUUUUUCAAGUGGGUGAUAGAGUGUUGUUGAAAUUACAACCGUAUGCUCAGUCAUCUGUUGUGAUUUGCCCAUAUCCAAAGCUGGCUUUCAAAUACUUUGGUCCUUAUCUGAUUCUAGAGCGUGUGGAAUCAAUAGCUUACAAACUGGAUUUGCCACAAGAUAGCAAAGUCCACAAUGUAUUUCAUGUCUCGUAAUUGAAACCUUUCACACUAGAUUACUCCCCUGUAUAUGCAGAUGUCUCAAAGGUGGCAGAUCUCAGUGCUAGUUCUAUUGAACCAGAAUGCAUUUUGGACCAAAGAUUGGUAAAGAAGGGCAAUUCAGCAAUUCCUCAAGUGCUUGUCAAAUGGACUAAAUUCCCAGCUACUUCUGCUACAUGGGAAGAUUGGAACGUCAUCCAAAAGCAGUUUCGUUCUUUAGCGUUUAGGGGGGGGGGGAAGUUAUCAUGAGAGAUGCAUGACUGAAGACGGAGUUGUGUAAGAAGGUGUUUUCGUUCUUCGUUUACGGGUUUAUAUUUUACGUUUUAAGCUUUAUGACAUGUGGGCCCUGCAUGGUGACUUCGGUGGCAUAUAGGCUAGCCGUGUACUGAUGAACAACGAUAAACUUGUGAUUGAAGUAAACUCGAAAUAGGAGAGGGAAAUCCUUCCUCAUCCGCCCCCAAAUUCCAUCUCUCUAUGAUUGCUCACGUCCUCGGCAUGUCACUGGCGACCAAGGGUGCUUACAAGGUGGGGGCUCCCACGGCGCCCGAGAAGUGUGCCCGCCGAUGGACGACGAUGAGGAGCAGAGUGAAGUCAAAGCGACUAUGCGCACGGGAGCACAUCACGGUGCUCGAGAGCGUGCCCCACGUGGCAAUGGCACCGAAGGUCGCGAGCAUGGAGGAUGAUCGAGGUGGAUUCUUUGGGAAACAAGGUGAGGAUCGUGAUCUUGUCGCCCCCCAUUCCCUCGUAUUGCAGCGAGGCCAGCCAAGAGCGGUAGGGUAGGGAGGCCUUCGCCUCGAGGAAGCGGGGCAAUGAGGUGUGUAUUGAUCGAGGAGGCCAUGGCGGGCCUACCGAAGCCCGAGGAUGGCCACGUCAAGUACCUGGUGGACACAUUCGAGCAGCUUCUCUUGUUGGCCUGCGGCGAUGGGCGCAAGGGACGUGGGAGGGGUGCCAAGUGCAAGAACAAGUUGACAGCAACAAUAGCGUCGGCGCCAGCAGCGCCGUUGAGCGCCAUGGAGAUCGACAUGUCAUACCGCUCCAUCGCUUCGUUGUCCGAGGUCUCCUUCCCCACCAUCGCUGGCAUCGCCUGCAUCGUCAAGGCCACUGACUGCACCAGGUUCUGAUCCAUUGCUACAUUUGCGUCGUCGUUGCUUUGCUUUAUUGUUGUUCUUGGCUCUCCGCGCAUGAGGCCAACACCGACAAAGGACAUACAAUGUACGUAUGCUGCAUGCUCACAAUCUCACUUUUUGUUGAGAUCAAGAUGAAUUUUUAGUGAAAUUUGUGUAGAUAUUGUUCAUCACACAUUGCAGAGCAUCGGCUCACCGGAGACGGGCUAGAGUAGGAAGGUGACAUGGGUGACGAGCUAGCAUCCGUUGAACCUUGGGACUGAGGUACGAGGGAUGUAAUGCUCGUCAUGUUUUGCUCAUCUACAGUGCUUGCUCUACAUUUUUUUGGGAAGCACUAUUGCUUGCUUAGCUGGUCAUGUUCUGCAUGACAAUUAUUGUGACUAACUGAAGAAACUUUGAUUCUAUUCUUGUACUCAGCAAAGGGGAAAGGUGAAGGAAGAGAAUUUUGUUCAGAAAUUGAGGAAGAUACAUUUGGAGGAGGAAAGGCUGCACAACGCGUUGGCUCAAGGUUUACCCUAUACCAUUGAUGAACCAGAGGUAUGGCAGCGACGCCUAUAAUAAUUUCAGUUCAGUGUUCACUUUUACAUUGCACGAAUUGCAGGGAGCAAGUGUACUUAAAUGAUUGGCCUGAGAUCUCACAUUUUUGCUCAAGCAUGCAUUUGUGCUAGGGUAAAGAAUGUACAGUUCAUGAACUGGUUUUUUCAGGUGAUAUAAUUUCUCUAGUUCAUUACCUAGGAGAGACAAUUGUAUUUGUUUUAAUUCUUGUUACGUAAAGCAUAGAAGAUGAUUAUAACCAUAAUAGAUAGAUCUAUUGAUUAGUUUCAAGCAGCUUUGCAAAUCAUGUUUAAUAGUACCAUGAGCUGAUCAGUGUAUUGAUUAUUUCUUUAGAACUCGGUAUUUUGGAUUUAGUUUACCUUGAACAUGUGAAUGUAGACGUUGUACACAGAUUAUGUGGAAGCCACUUGAGGAUUCCAGCUAUCAUAUUCUUUGGGCACCAGUUUGGGUAUAAGCAUAUCCUUUUCUCACUUGGAGAAUAUCUCAUUUGAUCAUAUCAUUCUGUAGCUUAACGUCAUUGGUUUCAAUAUAGUAGCUGGGUCUCGGUUAGUCGGUUUUUAGGCUGAUUAAUGUUUUGUUGACAUUAUUGCAGUUGGCACUUGGCACUCUUUCAGUCCAUCUCUAGAACAUUCAUGCUCAUGUCGGGACUUCUGAGGACACUAAUUUAGAUUCUAUGAUUUUUCAUGCUUUUAUUCUAUAUUGUCACAUGUGCACAGGUGACAAAAUUAUAGCGAUGCAUGCCUCUUCUAAUACUAAGAUUACUGUCAAAUUUAGUAGCUCGGCAGUCAAUCAGGGGUUACCCAAGUGGUUGAUUUGUAGGUGGAGGCGAUUGUGAAACCAAGAACUCGAAGGUGAUUGCGAGAACAUAAGGGACACAAGGGUUUUAGAUAGGUUCGGGUCUCCGGAAAGUAAUACCCUACAUCCUGUAUGUUGGUGGAUUGUAUUGCUCGUGAGCUUCGAUGGGAUAGUUUUUUUGGGAUGCCCUCAGGAGGCACCCUUGCCCGCCUUAUAUAGGCUGACGACCAAGGAUUACAAGUCGGUUUGAAUCUAAUCUACUCGAUUGUUACAUGGAAGGUAAUCUGACUCGGACUACAAAAUGCGUUCGACGUUAUCCUAUCAGAUUUGGACUGUCUUAUUGUGUUGACGUGUACUCCAAGUAACUUCAUGUCCUCAGCCAACACGUCCUGGUCGAGUAGGCCCACUUGUCAGACCCGACCAAUAUCCUGGUCGGUAGGGACCUAUGGGGUACCAAUAUCUCUUAGAGACCCAAUAAUUGGCUAACUGCUAAAUGACCUUUGGCUCCCACAUUGGUGGUUCUUGUCAUGAAAAUGGAUAUGAAAUCUAUGAAACAACUCAAAGAAAUUACAAAAAAUUGUUUCCUUCUCAUUUGAUCAUUAUCGUAAGAUGUUCCUGAGAAGGUAAGGUUAGAUACUAAUAUCUAAGUUUAAUGAUUUCAAAUUUGCCAGCUGGCUGAUUGAUAAUGAUUCUUUUAUUUCCCCCCUUGUAUAUGUAUGAAAAAUAUAUUAUUACACGUGUUUGUUGUAGAAUUUAAGUACACAACUAAAUUAUCGUACCUCCAUUGGUUCCAAGAAUUUAGACAACUCUUUCUCGAGUAUCUUCCUCUAGCAAUAAUGCUUCCAAAUAUUGGAGCAGGGAACUAGAAAUUUUAGAAGAGAUUCAAAAGAAUUUUUUUUGAAUUCUUUCUUGCUGGUAGAUCCGUGUGGUCAAAAAAUGUUGGUAGUUCGUUUGGAACAUCUUUGAUAUAAUAGCUUUCAUGAAUAUGAACAUACAUGGAUCAGACCAUAAUAUUUGUUUAGCGGUGACAACAAAGUAGGGUGAUGUACUUGCUGUGUGCUUGAUCAAGUUUAUUUUUAUUAUAUCUUUUAAACCCAUGCGUGUCGCACGGGUAUCUCCUCUAGUAUUUGCAAAAAAUUGGUCAAAAGCUGAAGUGUAUUUGCACAUAUAUAUGUAUACAUGUGACAAAUUUAACGUGCGAACGAAAGAAUCAAGGAUAAAGAUGUCCGUGACAUGAUGAUAACAUUUUAAUAAACUAGAUUCAACAUUUUAAUAAACUAGAUUCAACAUUUUGAUAAACUUGUUCAAUAUUUUCUAAACAUUAAAUCAACAUCCAAAAAUAUAAGAUUCAACAAUUUCUAAAAUAUAGAUUAACAUUCAAUAUUUUUUGUUGCCUACUUCAACAUUUCCGCUCACUGAAUUCAACAAUUUUUCAAACAAAAUUCAACAUCUCAAAAAAUAACCUUCUUCUCCAACCCCGAUGGCCGCCGGCACCACAGGGCCGCGCGUGCGUGUGCGGUGGCUGCACCGCGGCCAACGGCGCGGGAGCCACGUGCACCGCGGCAGCAGCAUGGUCGGCACGCCUGCAGGAGGGGGCGGUGCGGCCAGUGAUGGACACGGCGGGGCGCACGGCGACCAGCGCACCUGCGGCCGGUGGCGGCGGUGAGUGGCAAGCUCGUGGGUGAGCCGGUGACGGCGGCGGUGGCUGCAGGCAUGAGGUGAGCUAGGUGAGAAGGUGGGUUGCAUCCAACGAAGGACAUUUGAUUGCAUGAAUCUUAAACAAUAAUGUAAGUUAGGUAGAAAUAAAACUUCCGGAAGCUGUAUCCAGAUGGCUAGGGGCGCAAAAUGUGAUGUCGACAUGUGGUGACCAUAGGCUCAAGUAAUGUGCUGCAACAAUUUUUUUAACAACUAAUAGUAACAAAGGACCACAACUAAUAGCAACAAACGACGACCACAACUAAUAGCAACCAUAAGUAUUAUGGGCCUUAAGUUAUUACAAGUCGUGGUAUGCAUUUUCCAUUAAAAGAGUUUAUGAUACACUAAUUGCAUAUUUUAGCAAGGUCAGACGUCGACAUUGUGGUUGGGUCUGCUCUUUGUCGAUAAAAUUAUUAUAUUGCAUGAGAAGUAGGUGGUGUAGAUUAUCAUAACUAUGUGUAGCCGCCGAGUAGUUCAUUCCUUCAAUAACAUGUUUUGAUCUAUAGAUCGCAAAGUUAAUUAACCUUGCUUAAGGGAACUUUCAUUUGACCAUCUGUAGCAAACUCUAUACCUAGUCGUGUCCUAGUGUUGUAUACUCGUGUCCCAACUUAGCACCACACGAAACAAAAGGACAAACCCAGUCCCAUGGUAUUAGUUAGGGGCGGAACUGUGUAGGAAUUAGAUAAGCGACCCACUUGUUUAUUUGGAUUCGAUAUAAAUCUUGGAUGAAUACUACAGAUUCGAGUUCUUAUUACGGUAAUUGCUUACAACUAUGCAUAAGUGCAACAUCACCAUAGGAGUAGAGUAGUUUAUAAGCUAGUCGUGUAUGGGUGCCUUAUAUUUAUUGCAUUACAUCUUAAUCAUUUUCAAAAAGGAAUUAUCUCCAGCCUCUGCGAUCAUACACAACCCAGUUCUUACAGCAAAUUCAGCUCCAAAACUUAUCACCAAAAUAGAAAUAAAACUUGGGAAAUCAUAAGCAUUGCAUCUUAAUACGCAUGUGAUUUUUUUUUGUCGUCAACAAAACUAAUAGACUAUGGUAUCAAAGAAAAAACGAAUGCUAUGGCUGACCGAAUUAGCUAAUCGUCACCGUACCCUGAUCCCAUUGCUCCUAGAAAUGCUUCACGCCUCCACCCACCCCUUUAAUUUAAGCAGGUUCCAAUAGUGGCCCAAGGGCCAAUAACACAGGCCAAUAUUCUGCAAGAUUUGACCCACCUAGAAGCAAGAGAAAUUUGGCCCAAUCUCAAUGUGCAGCCAAACCCCGAGUCCACCUUGUUUUUUUUUUAAAUUUAGUCUUCACUUUUUUAUUCGUAUGCUCUAUUUCUUUUAUAGUCCUAAUAGAAAGAAAAAUCAAUGGUUCAAUGUUAUAUCUUUUAUUUCCAUUCAUGCUAUUUAUUUUGCUGCAGGUACAAUUCAAUUGCUCCAAGAAUAUUUGAAAUGUUGUAUAUAUCAUAUAUGUAGCUGUAUUUAGAUUACUCCAACAGGAAACGUGCAUUGGUUAGUGUUAUAUUAUAAAUUGUUCCAUUUGUGGAACCAUAUAACAGCAUCUCAAUUAGUCUCUCCUUUCCUGAAAAAUCUCAAUAUUAGUAAAGGAAGUGCUCCAUCAAUUUUCCAAUACUUAUUGGAUCAUCCCAAUAUUUACGCUCACCCCUUCUCCUUCCCAAAUAAACGGGGAGUUCAUACUCCCAACGCAAUAUGGUAGUUGUCCAUGGCACCAUAUUGUUUUCCCUAACCCACCCUUCCCACGAUCACACUGCCGUGGCCUUCAUCGACAAGUCAUGCUCACCACUAGUUGGCAGAGCUUGCCCAUGCGACCGAUGUUGGCCUCCCCAGCCGCCCCCCACCCCCACAGUCGCUGGCCACCCAUCCAGAGCUGACACACUGGCCGGCUUGAGGAGCCAUGCCGGUUGCUGCAUAGAGGUGGAGCGCUGGGCGUUGGGCCCCGUAUGCCACUCCGGCCUGACUCCCCUAGUCCCCUAUAGCUUAGCCUAUCAUCUUUCUCUGCCUGAUCUUCUCCUCUACCGACCUUCCCAGUCACUAUGGCGUGAGCUUAUAUGUUGGCAAAACCCUUUAAUCUAUAAGAUCUCUGUACAUUGAUUGAACUGAGAAUUUUCCACUUAUGUGUAAAGACCAGAUUCACAUGUCCGGUUGAUCCACAAGUGGCACGUCAACUAUCUUGAUCACCAAUUAAUCCAUGCCAGUCUCUUCGAUUGUUCCAUCUCAUGGCCCUUCUAAAAGGAGAUAUUAAGUGGAGUGUAUAAUCUUUUGCCAGUCUCUAUGCCAUGUUUCUGAAAUUCCAGGUUAAACAAAUUUGGGUAUUGCUCACUGAAGCUAGUACGUAUUUGUCCUGCCAAAAUCUUACUUAUGAACUGAAGCUAGAUUAAUCCAGACCAGGAAUGAAAAUCACAUAAUUUUUUUCUCCGCUCGAGUAAUGAUUAAUAGAGAGGGAAAGAAAGGGCUGGCAAGUAGGUCCGGUUGUUGGAUGAGAUAUUGUGAUGAGUUUAUUAGAAAACUGAUGUACCACCUACCCCUAAUAAAUCUAAUGAACUUUUGGAGGUUGCCUAAUAACUGUUGUAGAAGUAUUUGGUGCAUAUUUCUCCGGUGCUUGGCUACAUACAUAUAAUUAACAUUGUGCUCGGAUAGGCAUCUCCCUCCAAGGUUCACACAUUCUUAUCCAUUUCUUACUAGUAAAAACAAAGGAUAUUGACAUGCUUUCAUUGUCCACACUUGCAGAGCGCAUGCAUACAUUUAACAUGUGGUUGCAGGGCGCCCCACUCGUUCGCACCAUCCGUAUGCAUCUCGACACUUACCAUCCUACCAUACANNNNNNNNNNNNNNNNNNNNNNNNNNNNNNNNNNNNNNNNNNNNNNNNNNNNNNNNNNNNNNNNNNNNNNNNNNNNNNNNNNNNNNNNNNNNNNNNNNNNGGACUGGGAGAAGCGCUCACCCGCGCCUCACCCUCACGCCGCUCCCCUCCCGCCGCCCCUUCCCUCCCGCCGGACGCCGCCUCCCCUCCCUCUCCUCCGGCGGGCGGCCCCCCUCCCCUCCCUCUCCUCCAAUGGGCGGCGCCCCUCCCCUCCCUCUCCGGCGGGCGGGGCAACUCCUCCGGCCCUUCCUCUCCCGGCCGGGCGGCGCCCCUUCCCCACCCUCUCCGGUGGGCGGCGCCCCCUCCCGGCCCCGAUCCCCACCGGUAGAUCUGGCGGCCGGGGCGGCCUCCUCCCUCCCUCGCUCCGCCGCCGGUCAGAUCCGGGCGGCUAGAGGGGAGGGGGCUCCGGAGGGGGCCAGAUCCGGGCGGUGGCCACGGAUCGAGGGGAGGGGGCCUUGCGGAGGCACGCCCCUGCCCCUCCCCUACCCCUAUCCGGCGGAUCCAGCGGCGCCGACCCUCCCCUCACCGGAUCCGGCGGCCGUGGGCCUCGGCGGCUGGAGCGCGUCAGCAGCGUUGACGAGGCAGGACAGUUCGUCCACUUCCACCACCGCCGGCGACAGGUUACAGGUACCCCUACUACUCCGAGCUGGGUUCGGUCGCCAACGGCGUCAUGAUGGUCGACGCGGACAACUUUUGGAAUGUCGUCGACAACUUCUGGGUGCUGGCGGUGGUGGCGACCGUGGCGGCCGGUGGUGGCGGAGCUGGCGGUGGUGGCGGCCGGUGGUGGCGGAGCUGGCGGUGGUGGUGGCGGCGGCGGCGUAACAGGAUUUUUUUUUUCAAAAAUUGGAUGCCAACUGUUUUCUGGCCACUCGGCAACGACUUUGCCGAGUGUGCAACACAAAACACUCGGCAAAUCCAGGUUUGCCGACUCGAAAUUUGCCGUGUGCCGUUUGCCGAGUGUUACACUCGGCAAAUGGUUCGCCGAGUGUAUUUUGCCCUUCGCCAAGUGCCCCUGUCACUCGGCAAUUUUCCUGUCUCCCGUAGUGACUCACCCAUCAACACCCAUCAACGUAGCCCGUCUGGUGUACCAGCUGACUGGGGAUGUAAGAGACGACAGACAAGGAUAGGGUCAUAUAUAAACCAAAACAUGCCUGCUAGCUUUGACGUGCCUGUAUUGCAAUUUGCGAAGGAGUUUAAUUUCUAUGUUCUAGCUAUACAGCAAAAGCAAAUGAAUUUCAUGUCACUUAGUUUGUCGAUACAGUUGGAAUUCACAUUGACCUUUAAUAUAUUGUUCGCUACUCCCACUAAACCCGAAUUCUUUUAUUAUGAUUAAGACAUAACUAACUCAGUAUCAAAUAUAAUAUUUUCACUAACAAUAUCUAUGGAAACUAUAUUAUUAUCACGAAUAGAACGACAGAUAUAUCAUGGAAAUACUGUUUUUCAUGAUGAAUAUAUUUACAACAAAUGUAUGUUGUCAAUCCAUAUCAGUUUUUGGCUGACUCAUGGUCCAACAUAAAAGUUUGGCUUAGGAUAUUCCUAAGGCGUUUUAUCUCUGGGAGAAGAAGUGGUUUAGUGGUGGAUAAGAGACGGUGAUGGCUGUUGACCUGUAAUCAUAGUUUCUGGUGACAAAUAACUAGAAGUUGCGACCACGAUCUUGCACGGGAAAGCCUGAAAUAACAUAAAAUGAGUAAUAAAUUUUAGUGAAGGAAGACUAAGUAGUUUUUAACUGGACACGCACAACUGAAUCACAUAGAUAAUGAUCAGACCUCAUGUAAGCAUGCUGACUUUACGACACACUAGUACAGUUUCAUGAGGAACAGAAUAUGAAUCAUUAUUGUUAGCUAGGUACAUUUUUACAGCACUCAACAUAUGAACCAUAUCUUCGGGCCAAACCGCAAAGCUAGAGGGGGUAAGUUUGACAAGUUAUGACCAGCAAUCAGCAUCCAUGAUUGGUUGGAAACAACAAUAGGAGCAUAGUCCUCGAACAAUAUGUACUUAAUUUUGACGGAUAGAUAUCACAAUCCUAUGCAAUUGUGUCGCUUUUGCAUCUUAGUUCUAUUUCUUAUGUUGAUUUAUAUAUGUGCAUACGUGGAAGACAAUUAUGAAACAGAUGUGUCCAACACGUGAUAUUUGCAUCAUCCCACAUGGCCUUGAUCUACAAGAGAAAUAUCCCAAGUCCGUGCUCCAAAGCCUUAGUGCACCAUGAAAAAUAGUUAAAAAAAUAAUUAAAAAACCAUUAGGUUACAUAUGUUGAUGGAGGACGGUCCCGAAGUGGGAUCCGUCACAACAGCUAGGGAGUUUCACUCUGAUGGGGCCAAAUCCCCCUUCAGACGAAGCCAAUCGAGUAAGUGACUAGAAACGCUAAACAAUAAAGAACAAUAAAUGCAGAUAGUCGUCAUUAACUUCGGACUAGCCAGACCAGCCAUCCCAUUAGUUACAGUGGCUCCGCUAUUUAUAGGGAGAUCAACCGCAACAAAGCACAAUUACAAUUUACCGUUACCCAACGAUUAUAUUCCAAGAAUAUUCCAGGGUACAACGGGAAAUACGGCCUUCAUACGGACUCCACCAGCUUGCUCCUCGUACUGCUCCUUCGCUCCACGUGGUGGAUAGCAUGGUCUUUCAAUGCACGCUUGGCUUUGGGGUCGAACCACUUGUUCAUUGGGCCACUCCAUUCUUCCCUCCGAGGGCGAGUUACGGCGAACAUGAGUCAGACGCCGCAGUUCAUUGCUUAGUUCCGAAGGGAUCUUCGUACGCCUAAGGACCCUUCAUCACCAUCUUCUUUUUCUCCCUGCAUUCCGAUUCUGCCAUAAAACAAACAAGCUGUUAUGGUUAAUGUCAAAAGAACUUCUUCCUCCGAAGGGGUUCUGAAGGUGUGGUUUCCCCAACAACACUGAGGGAAAAAAGAAACAUUCUGAUGUCUAAUAUUGAAAUUUCCCCUCUUUACACAAAUUGCUUUAAUUUGACUUAAACAUUUUUGAAAUGCUUUUAUGCUAUCAAACUCUUAUUUACAAAAAAUACACUGAAUAAUUUCAAUAUUAUCCCCAUGAUAUUCUAAGGCCAGGACUUAGGACCAUGGAAAAAUAUGGUCGUUUACAGUACAUGCAUAGUGCCAUGAAUAUUGGAUAACUCCUUUUCAUCAGUAGAUCACAUUGGUAAUUGCCAAAAAAAACCUAAUGUUUCUAGUGUAAAUUAACAAAGUGAAUAGAAAGGGAGGUCCCUACUGAUUAUAUUAAAAAUAACAAGAAUUCAUAAAGAAGAAAAAUAAAUGAAAAAGAUCACUAUUUUUUUUAUUCAUAGAAUGAAAAGUUUAAAAUAUAUACUCUAGUUCACUGCAGAAUUUUAAGAGAUACAUGCAUGGUACUCUCACUAGCUAUAAAUUCAUUGAAUGAUAAUAAUGUAAGAAGGUUGAAGCAUUCUCCUCCCGCAGCUUUCAAUUAAAUUAUUGAAAUUUAGACAUUUUCAUUAUAACAUUGAAGACGAUGGUCAUCGACCAACAAUAUUCGAAAGGAGUAUGGAAGAUUUGUUUUGACCACUCAAGGCCUGGCUAGAUUUUUUCGGUUGAAGCAUUCUCCUCCACAGCUUUCAAUUAAAUUAUUGAAAUUUAGACAUUUUGAUUAUAAAAUUGAAGAUGCUGGUCAUCGACCAACAAUUUUCGAAAGGAGUAUGGAAGAUUUGUUUUGACCACUCAAGGCCUGGCUAGAUUUUAUCCUAUCUAUUUAUCGUUGUGCCAUGUAUACUUCGAUUGAUCAACAUAUCAUGAGUAUGGAGAUGAAUGCAUGCUAGUAGCUGACGUGAUGCAAGUUAUAUCUUGGAAAUAUAUCACGAUGUUAAAUUUCUUGUGGUGUACGUAGACACUGCCCAAUGCUAUGAGAUCACACAGCAUUUGUUUUGUUGAAAAUAAGUCUACUAGAUAUUACACAUCAGAUGAACUUGCCCCACAAAAAGAAAGUGAACUAGCUAGUUUCAUAAGUCGCACUGCCUAAUAAUUAAGAACCCUACCUACUUGUUUUGCGCACGUCCAUGUGCAGCUAGCUGGUACACACAAGCAAUGCAGUAGUCAUACUAACAGCGAGCAAAGCCGACAGUUCUUGACGAUCAUGCAUACUACUUGAUUGUCUAUCUGUUUGUCUAUCUCUAUCAAUGCUAGCUGAUAUGUGUUAAGGUCAGUUGUGAAUAGAGAUGGUGAUCGAAUGAUCUUGACACCAAUGAAUUCGUGCUAUACAGGAAUAGCUUGUGCAUUAUUUCAUUUUUCAUAAUGUACAACAAAACACAUAUAUGCAUUGGUAUUAGGUAUCACCACCUGAGCAACUAUGGUGAAAACACCUCACAUUUUUUAAAAGCCACGAAAGUUUAUCCCAAAAACAUACUUUUAAGUUUAAAAAAUUAAGACUUGCCACUUCAAUAGUUCAUCUUAUAUAUUAUAUACUUUGUGCAAAAGUUGGGAGUAAAACUUUCUCUAGUUUAAUUAAUAAAAACUGAAACAUUUUGUGCAAAAGUUGGGAGUAAAAUUUUCUCUAGUUUAAUUAAUAAAAACUGAAACAUUUUGGAUGAAUAUGCAAGUAGAUAACAAUUUUUUUUCUCUAACUAUAUUCACCCAAAGUAUAUCUUGUUUAAAAUUAAACUAUAAUGAGUUUAAAUAUGAAUUUCUGUGGCAAAACUAUAUUAAGACAUGGGAUGUGGAAGUACCAACUACAAAUUUAUAUUUAUUUUGAAAAGUUCAAAGUACAUUUUUUUGAUGAAUUUUAGUUUCAUUAUUUUUAAAAUGGUGAGAUGUUUUCACCAGCUGAUUCACGGCGAAUGACAUGUGUAGAGGUACAUGGCACUAUUUCUUGUACUGCGCUCCAGUGUAUGCAAGACAAAUAUAUGGUGGGUAUACUCACGGUGUCAGUUUAUAAGAGCUUGGGGGGAACCAACAAGGCAACAAGCUUGAAAAAUCUUUACCCUCAAUCAACAUCCAUGAUUGAUCGAUCAUUUGGUCAAGCAUUUUGAGAAUAUAGUUGAAGCGCAUGUAUUUUUUUACACCAUAGCAUGCAAAAGGCAGCUUAGGACUUCCCCCUUCUUUUUUUGUUGGGACUCAACGCAAUUUGAGAUUGACGUGUUCAUUCCACCGAUGCUGACUUGUUAACUAACAACCUCAUCAAUCAUUCCAGCUACAGUACGUACUUCCUAGCUCCGUUCCAAAUUAUAAGUCAUGCUAACUUUCUUAGAGAGUCAAAACAUCUCAAGUUUGACCAUUCAUGAUACGUAAUAAGUACCAUUAGUUUCUUCAUUAAAUAUAUUUUCAUAGUAUAUCUAUUCGGUGCCAUAAACUUUUAUGGUCCUUCGUAUAAUUUUGAUUAAAUAUAAAAUGGUUUGACUUUUUAAAAAUAUUGGAAUAAUUUAUAAUUUGGACCGGGAAAGCAGUUAUCAGGCUAUAAAUCUGGGGCGCGUGUACUGCCACAGCAUGCUCGUGUCUAAGUUGAUAUUUUGACAUUGCAUGACAUAGGUGCCUAGAGAUGGCUUCCUCCCAUUCUCCUCGUUCUGCCUCCGGCGCCACCGCCGUCAUGGCCGUGCUGUUUGUGGCGGCCCUGUGCCUGCACGGCGCCAUGGCGCAACCGCUGCGCGAGGACUACUACGACGGCACGUGCCCUGACGCCUAUAACAUCGUGAAGCAGGUGCUCAUCGACGCGCACGAGUCGGACGAGCGCAUCUACGCCAGCCUCAUCCGCCUCCACUUCCACGAUUGCUUCGUCCAAGUAACCUUCCUCUUCUCUCUGCUAGGCCGCCAUGCCCGUGCCCGUGCCCAUGCGUGAUCAUGCAGCAUUCACGAUGCAUUAUUGUUUCAUUGGUGAGUGUGGUGAUGACCGUUUAUUGUUCAUAGGGCUGCGACGGGUCGAUUCUGCUGGACAACAUGACAGGGAUGCAGUCCGAGAAGGAGUCACCGCCCAACAACGGCUCGGCGCGCGGGUACGAGGUGGUGGACGCCGUCAAGUGCGCGCUGGAGGACGCCUGCCCUGGCGUCGUCUCCUGCGCCGACAUCCUCGCUAUCGCCGCGGAGAUCUCCGUCGAGCUGGUACGUACCCGCGGCUGCCUAGAUACAACCUAGCUUCAUGGCAUACUAUACUACCAUUGUGAUCAUUGAUGGACGUAGUCACGUAGCGGCAGGUGCGCGGUAGCUUUCGAUGAGGGUUGAGGGGCAUGCAUGAAUCUUGAUUUGACCGUCAACAACAUGCUAUAACUUUAUUGACACCAUUUAAAAAUUAUAGGGAAAAAAUGAUUGCGUAGACAUGUCGGUGCAUUCAUGCAAACCGAGGGUUCGUUUGGCAGGGAUGUAGCUGAAACGGCUCCGACUGUGGCUUCGCUUUUCUGGUAGAGUUGAAACUAUUUUUGAAAAAUGUUUGGCAAAACGGCUUCUUAGGAAUGGAUGUGAGAAGUCAAAUGUCCUAUAUGCCCUUGGCUGUGUGGAUUGUUUGAAUGGAUAAUUUGAGUUUAUUUGAAAUUGAAAAAUAUUUGAAAAAGACUCCUCUCUAUUUUUUCUUCUUUUCCCUUACUACUUUUUUUCUUUCUUUCUUUAUUCUCCCUUAUCCGUUCUCUACUCUGGCUCCCAUCUAUCUGCUUUGGUCAGUCAUCAUCCUCUUUCUCCAUCUUCCCCGCAAGCUGCCGCCCCUCCGUCCCUCCAUCCCAGCCUCGCCAUGCUGCUUCCCAUGUUGCUGCUCCACCUCGCUGUGCCGCUUCCCCAUGCUGUGCUGCAUGCUCCUGCCAUUGCUCCCCUGCCCAAGCGCGCAGGGCCACGGCUAAGGCAUGAAUGGCAGGCGGCGUGCUCCCGCCAGCGGGUCGACGGUGGCGAGUGGCGUGCUCGCGCCGACGGGUCGGUUGUUGCGGGCGGCACGCCCGCUCUAGCCAUGGAAGGUGCAGCUGGCCUCAAUCAUCGGCAAGCCUAAAGCCUUCAACCUCUAGGUACAACACGAUUUUGGAUGCAAUUUCAGCUGUGAUUUGCACCAAGUUCAUGGGCAAUUUGGUAACAGCAGGUGUGGGGAGGGGGAGGAGUUGUGGGGAGCUAGUUUUUCUGCUCAAGAGAGCUAGUAUUGCGGGGCUUCUUUGGUGGAACUGUUUGGCUGGGCUUCACCGGAAGCUGGUGGUGAAGCCAACAAGGGAGCCCUGUCAAAGAGGGCCUAACUUCCCAUGUCCUUUCGUCAAUAUAUAUGUCCAUUACGUUUGGUUCGGUACUAAUGCGCGAAAUAAGUACCGGGUCCAAAUUAUCAGUCCUCGAAGGACUUUUAGUAUCGGGUCAAAACGUCACCUGGUACUAAAUGUCACCCUUUAGUACAUGUUGGUGUUAUGACUCGGUACUAAUACUCCUGGAUCAUUUUAGUACCGGACAAUAACACCAACCGGUACUAAAACCGGUACUAAAUGGUACUCCAUGCGAUACUGGUGUUAUUGCCUGGUACUAAAUAAUACUUCACGGGAUACUUCAAAAGAAAAGCAUAUCUAACUCCAUGACAUGUGUUAUGUAGGUAAAGUGGUUCGAAGGUUCGUGCGAGAUUUGAGGUCAUGAGUUCGAAUCCCACAGACAGCGCACACGCAUAUUACGGGGCCUCCUAGCUGUUCGUGAAUUUUUUCAUUAUUUUUUGGACACAAAUGUUGCAUUUAAUACUGGGUAUUUUGGUCGGUACUAAAUGACAUGACAUUUAGUACCGAAGAAGUGAUACUAGUGGCGCUGGUACUAAAGGGUUCCGACCGAUAAUAGCUGGAAGUCAAUCCUCCAGUAGUGUUCAAUGAUUUACACAUGGUAGUAUGGGAAGUAGCUAGCUACUGGCCACAGCUUACGUGUCUACAUGAGCAGACGAUUAAUGUACAGAAAAGCUGCUAGAAAUAUUGACACGUAAAUAUUGAUUUAUAGCUAAUCUGCUCGUCCAUAACAUGCAGUCGGGAGGACCCAGCUGGGGUGUACUCCUGGGAAGACUGGACGGCAGAACGUCAGACUUCAACGGCUCCCAGGACCUGCCGGCGCCCUUCGAAAAUCUCACCACGCUCCAGAGUAAGUUCCAAGCCGUCGGCCUUAACGACGUCGACCUCGUCGCCCUCUCAGGUACGCGCGUGAACAAUAGUUGGCAUAUAUUCUACGUCGAAUUUUCUAAAUGUAUAGAUAGAAAAUUCUAUGUACAUAGUAAAGUCUAUGUACCUAGAAAAACUCAGACAACCUACAUUUUAUACUACAUUUUGUAAAGGAGCAUCACACUAUUGCUCUGACCAACGUUAACGCCCCAUCUGUUUCUCUUGAAUGCAUGUGACCCACACAGGGGCUCACACGUUUGGCAGGGUACAAUGUGCAAACGUCGCCGACCAACCGGCCGACCGGCUCUACAACUUCAGCGGCACCAACAUGCCGGACCCGACCCUGGACUCGGCUUACCGAGCAUUCCUAUCGCAGAGGUGCCCGAGGAAUGGCGACAGUUCGGUCUUGAACGACCUCGAUCCAACGACGCCGGACACCUUCGACAACCACUACUACACCAACAUCGAAGUGAACCGGGGGUUCCUCACCUCCGAUCAGGAGCUCAAGUCCGCACCCGAAGCGCAGGGCACCACGGCACCGAUUGUCGAUCAGUUCGCGAGCAGCCAGGAUGCCUUCUUU